RNAcentral lists this microRNA (24 nucleotides) under Centruroides sculpturatus (bark scorpion). RNAcentral's name for it is "Csc-Mir-305_5p (mature (guide))". Lineage: Eukaryota; Metazoa; Arthropoda; Arachnida; Scorpiones; Buthidae. The record is from RNAcentral.
UUUGUACUUCAUUAGGUGCUCUGG